This 1401-nucleotide ribosomal RNA is filed under the name uncultured bacterium. RNAcentral's name for it is "16S ribosomal RNA". It matches the Rfam family "Bacterial small subunit ribosomal RNA". The record is from RNAcentral.
AGAGUUUGAUCCUGGCUCAGGAUGAACGCUAGCGGCAGGCUUAACACAUGCAAGUCGAGGGGCAGCGGGGAGGAAGCUUGCUUUCUCCGCCGGCGACCGGCGCACGGGUGAGUAACACGUAUGCAACCUGCCCCUGUCAGGGGGACAACCCGCCGAAAGGCGGGCUAAACCCGCGUACAUGCCACCGGGGCAUCCCGGAGGCAGGAAAGGCUUCGGCCGGACAGGGAUGGGCAUGCGGCGCAUUAGGCAGUAGGCGGGGUAACGGCCCACCUAACCGACGAUGCGUAGGGGUUCUGAGAGGAAGGUCCCCCACACUGGUACUGAGACACGGACCAGACUCCUACGGGAGGCAGCAGUGAGGAAUAUUGGUCAAUGGUCGGGAGACUGAACCAGCCAAGCCGCGUGAGGGAGGAAGGUACAGAGUAUCGUAAACCUCUUUUGUCAGGGAACAAAGGCGGGGACGUGUCCCCGGAUGAGUGUACCUGAAGAAAAAGCAUCGGCUAACUCCGUGCCAGCAGCCGCGGUAAUACGGAGGAUGCGAGCGUUAUCCGGAUUUAUUGGGUUUAAAGGGUGCGCAGGCGGUCUGUUAAGUCAGCGGUCAAAGCCCGGGGCUCAACCCCGGCCCGCCGUUGAAACUGGCAGUCUCGAGUUGGAGAGAAGUAUGCGGAAUGCGCGGUGUAGCGGUGAAAUGCAUAGAUAUCGCGCAGAACUCCGAUUGCGAAGGCAGCAUGCCGGCUCCACACUGACGCUGAGGCACGAAAGCGUGGGUAUCGAACAGGAUUAGAUACCCUGGUAGUCCACGCAGUAACGAUGAAUGCUGGCUGUCCGGGGGGAUUGACCCCUGGGUGGCGAAGCGAAAGCGAUAAGCAUUCCACCUGGGGAGUACGCCGGCAACGGUGAAACUCAAAGGAAUUGACGGGGGCCCGCACAAGCGGAGGAACAUGUGGUUUAAUUCGAUGAUACGCGAGGAACCUUACCCGGGCUCAAACGGGGAGUGACUCAGGCAGAGACGCCUGUUUCCCACGGGACACUCCCCGAGGUGCUGCAUGGUUGUCGUCAGCUCGUGCCGUGAGGUGUCGGCUUAAGUGCCAUAACGAGCGCAACCCCCGCGUGCAGUUGCUAACAGAUAACGCUGAGGACUCUGCACGGACUGCCGGCGCAAGCCGCGAGGAAGGCGGGGAUGACGUCAAAUCAGCACGGCCCUUACGUCCGGGGCGACACACGUGUUACAAUGGGUGGUACAGCGGGAAGCCAGGCGGCGACGCCGAGCGGAACCCGAAAUCCACUCUCAGUUCGGAUCGGAGUCUGCAACCCGACUCCGUGAAGCUGGAUUCGCUAGUAAUCGCGCAUCAGCCAUGGCGCGGUGAAUACGUUCCCGGGCCUUGCACACACCGCCCGUCA